GUGAAUCAUCGAAUCUUUGAACGCAAAUUGCACUCUCUUCGGAGAGUAUGCCUGUUUGAGGGUCAGCCUAAAAAAAAUCGACAUCGUUGCUGUUUUGUGACCCAUCGGAAUUGGGUUAUCUUUGACCUUUUAAAAAGUUUAAGUGACCUAAAAUUGAUACCUUGUGCAUCUCAGACGUACAUAAGAAUAUUUUUUUAUCCGUCCGGAGUUGCCAACUUUUUAUUAGGUAUGACCAUGCUGUUUGUGGCAUCGUACCUAUAAUAUACUCAUAUUUUGACCUCAAAUCAGGUAGGAGUACCCG
This 301-nucleotide unclassified non-coding RNA is filed under the name Glomeraceae sp. RNAcentral describes it as "partial contains 5.8S ribosomal RNA, internal transcribed spacer 2, and large subunit ribosomal RNA". The stretch from base 1 to 65 matches the Rfam family "5.8S ribosomal RNA", at positions 84 to 154 of the family's 154-position model. The record is from RNAcentral. Lineage: Eukaryota; Fungi; Glomeromycota; Glomeromycetes; Glomerales; Glomeraceae.